This 152-nucleotide unclassified non-coding RNA is filed under the name Patiria miniata (bat star). RNAcentral describes it as "complement C1q subcomponent subunit B-like, transcript variant X2". The record is from RNAcentral. Lineage: Eukaryota; Metazoa; Echinodermata; Asteroidea; Valvatida; Asterinidae.
CGUCAAUAUUUAAGUCACAAGCUGCCGGCUCACUCCUCACAACGACCGCAGCUCAUGUCCACGUUCAGACUACAACCCGAGAGAACUGUUUGCAAGAUCGAACAAGAAUUGCACGCCUACAGUGAACUCCUUUUGAUCUCUUCUUGGACCUG